UACGAAGGGGGCUAGCGUUGUUCGGAAUUACUGGGCGUAAAGGGCGCGUAGGCGGUGUGUCAAGUCAGGCGUGAAAGCCCCGGGCUCAACCUGGGAACCGCGCUUGAGACUGGCACGCUAGAGUUCGGGAGAGGAUGGUGGAAUUCCCAGUGUAGAGGUGAAAUUCGUAGAUAUUGGGAAGAACACCGAUGGCGAAGGCAGCCAUCUGGACCGACACUGACGCUGAGGCGCGAAAGCGUGGGGAUCAAACAGG
This 253-nucleotide ribosomal RNA is filed under the name uncultured bacterium. RNAcentral's name for it is "partial 16S ribosomal RNA". It matches the Rfam family "Bacterial small subunit ribosomal RNA", at positions 524 to 776 of the family's 1533-position model. The record is from RNAcentral.